Long non-coding RNA from Peromyscus eremicus (cactus mouse), 3860 nucleotides. RefSeq lists it as uncharacterized. Lineage: Eukaryota; Metazoa; Chordata; Mammalia; Rodentia; Cricetidae. The transcript has 5 exons. The record is from RefSeq and is a predicted model, not a curated record.
GACAAGAGCUGGAGGAGGAGGAGCAGCCAGGUAGAGUACAGAAGAUCACCAGGGCAAAGGAAAAACAGUCAGGUAGAAAAAUGAAUCCAGAGUGAAAGCUAUAAAUGAAAGACAUCAAGAGGUGGGAAUGAUGUGAAAACAGAGGUGUUACCUAUUGGAGGACUCUGAGUCACCCACCGGCAGGAGCAAGACCAGAACGUUGCAGCCUUCCAAGAAAACCAUUUGGGAAAAACCACUGAAAGUUUGGAGUUACCCAGAAACCUGUCUAGGAAGCUGACCUUGUUUUCCCAGGCUCCAUACUCCACAAUCACUGUGAGUUUUUUCCAUCUCCCAAUCUCCAUCAAGGGCCUUUUCUUUUACCUAUGAGAGUCUACGGAAUCCUCUAUCUUUGAAGAAGGAAUCAUCCUGGUCCAUGGCAGGAUGGUUCUGAGCACGUUGCCUUCAUCACUAUGUCAUAGUGAUGUCACCAUGGUGACUAUUGUCGCUGAAUAGUUUGACAUCCCACAGCUCAUGAACUGCUCUCAGGUUGGGACUUUUAGACUCUCUUGUUGGCCUCUCUAAAGUGCUGGCCUCCCUCCAUCACUGGAAAGGAGAAACUGGCAGUGGAGAAUAGCCUGUCUGAUUCCACAUGCUUCCUGUUGGAGGAGUCCUUCAAGAAGUUACUUACUGUCAGAUGAGGUUUCUAGCACGACAAUUAGAGUGUUUGGCCAUCUCAUCACCAGAGUAGGUAGCCUCCCUGGUGAUGUGAGUAGCAGUCCAGUCAUCCUUGUUCCACAUCUAGUAUCCUGCUAUGAGAGGCUGUUUUCAAGAUGCCAUCUUGGAGGAAAGAUUGGUUCUCCCAGAUUUUAACUCUACUGCCACCUUCACCAGAAUUUUCUGCCUCAAAGCUCUGAAGAAAACAUUUCCAUUCUUCAAAAAUUACCCUGUCCCAGCUUUAGGAAGAAACCAUGACUGGCCAGAGGAUCAGCUACCUACUGUGAUUGGAGGCAAGACUCAGUGUCUGUUUUUCACAGACACUGUUCACAUACUGUUCAAACUCACUAUGAUGGCGGAAAGGGCAAACAAAGGGGCAGUGGUUUCUGACAUUGGGAAUCAGAAAUCUCUAGUAGAUGAACAGAGUCAACUCAUGCAUUUCAAGGACUUCGGCAAAGCAAUCCCUUCCACUCUCCAAAGCACUCUGUGGUACCUAGACUCACUCAAAUAAGAAGGCCCUAAACCUGAAGGACUUGAAGUUCACACUAGGAGCAGUAGAUGUCUUGGAGAGGAGGGGAGGCUUAGGACAUACUUGCAAUGUGCCAUGCAGACUGUAGCAUGCAAGUGGGCCAGAUUCUUAAGUCACCAUUGGAAUGGGUCAAAUACCCCCAAUUCACUGCUCCACCAGGAGCAGGGGCUGCUUGGCUCUCCCAUGGGGUGUUCUGUAUACCACAGGAGACUGUGAGUAUCCAGUGAAGGGUGAGGGAAGCAAGAAGAAAGGGCUGGAAGUAGAAACUGAGACUUAACCACAAACACUUGCAGCUGAAAGACUGUCUUAAGAUCAAGGUGACCCUGGACCUAAGCUCCUGGGACUUGGAACAGGGAGUAAACUUCAAUUUGUCAUUACCCAGGAGCUUCACACUCCCAGGUCAAAUAAAGGGCCAGUGUUUUUGUUUCUGUUCAAAGACAGAACCAGCAACAAGACAGUUUUGACAAUUCUGCUGCUGAUCUUGAAACAACUCCUUCUAAAGAAUGGAUGGAACAAUACAUCCAGAAGGAAGAACACAUGUAACGCACAUUAAAUACAUGCAAAAAUCCACCCACAGUAUUCCACAGCCACUGUCAACAAAUUGGGCUGCACAGUCUCUAGAAAACCAAAAAGUAAUUAUUUUUAAAUUCCUAAAAUGAUUUGGGGCACCAACACCUCUUCCUCCUCAAAUUCAAUCUCUCCUCUUUGGGGAUUUCUCACUGGGAAACAUUCAAUUUCCCCUCCUCUUUCCUCUGCUCCCUCCUUCCUGCUCCCCCUCUUCUCAAGCUUUCUUGAUUCAAGGCACACACUUGCAACUGCUGUUAAAUUCAAAUAGUUCAAGACAGAAAGUUCUGUUGAGUUUACCAUCAGUCAAUGAAGCUUCUCAGCUCAUGUGUUCUGUCUGCUCCAUUUAUUCACAGAAUCCAAGAACCCCACCUCUCCUUCAGCAUGGCCAGUCUAUGUGCUGCAGCCAGGGGAACCUUUUAUUCUCUGCCUGUUUGACACAGCCUUCCUUAGAGGUGGUGCCUGCCCUUCAGUGAAUUCCAAAUGCUGAGCUCUAUACUCCACAGUCAUGAGCCUUGAGGUUCCAGUUUGUCUGCAGGGCAGUGGCUCCAGCACCAUUGACUACAGGCAGAUAUACCAGAGUCUGUCUCAACCCAGAUAGGUGGAGGGGGAGAGUCACUCAAUCUCACGGGUGUAGAAUACUAGAAAAAGUUUGAAAGAAGUAAAUAAUUUUGUGAUGCUGUUAUGCAUUCUACAAAAUAAAACUCUCAUUCCAAACUAUCACUAAAGUGCAAUGUAAGUACACUCUUGGCACAUCUCCAAUCAGGAUAAUUGCCACACCAUCUCUGCAGAGAGAGAUAGAAUUAUAUGGGAACAAUAAAUUGCUCAGCUCUCUUUGAGAAUUCAGUUGAUUCGAUCAAAAGGGAAAAGAGAACCGAGUUCCUUCAAUAUAUUGGAAAAUGAAAUAUAGACUUAUUUCAUGUAUUCAGAAAGAAACUUUAAUCACUAAACAGAAUAUUGUUAUUCUAGAAGUAUUUAAAUGAUCACAUAGAUCAAAGAGACUUCAAAUGACAGGUUAUGGGAGACAGUCCUGGGAUAUAAUGAUUUUAGGAAACAGUAAGAACACUUUUUUCAUCUCAUUGGAAACAAGAAGACAUUUCCCAUUCAGAAGAUGAGACGACUGUCAUGUGAAAACUAUUUAAAACCAUUUCUCCUAAGUCAUUCCAGCAUCAAAAUAACUAGACAUUUUGAAACUGUACUACUGUAUCUUAAGAACUAAAAUUUAUUUCUAGUUUUAAGAACACAUUGUACAAUUAAUUGUAUCCACGAUUGCUUAGAGAAAGGGAUCAUGGAUGACCAGGGUCUCCAAGAACAUAUAUCAGGAUGCUCAAGGCUGUCCCCAGAACUGAAUGCAUAUUUCACAUAUACCUGAAUAUCUAUAUGGCUAUAUGAGGUAAAUUGUGUACAUUCCUUUCCACUCAUAGAUAGAAGGUCCAAGAACUUCAUCAAUAUUCUGAAGAGGCUCAGAGCCUUCAAAAUAUUUAGAAACUUUUUGUGAAUAUCACAAAAUAAUGAAUUUGUGAGACCUACUUUCUGGACCAGUUGUUCCUAUUGAAUAUAUCUACAAUAUUUGGUAUAAAUCUCCACUUUUGUUCAAAGAUGGGAACAGUAUCACUUUGAAGGUCCAUGUUCCACUUAACACUUUCCACAUCAUUUUGAAAAUGAAUAGAGUAAAGGAACAAGAGCUCUUUCCUUUUUGUCUUCUAGAAGAACUUGAAGAUCUGCCAGCUAGCUAGCAAAGUGAUUAACUGUGGGCUAGUACAUGCCCAGCCAACCAGACCACAAGCUACUUAACAAUAAAGAAAGAUAGUUUAUUAUUUACAGGGAUGAAAACAAUACAACAUAUGACCACAGCCUAUGAUUUCUGAGUGGUUGAAUAAACCUUGAAAUAAUAAAUCGUGCCUAUUUUAAAUAAAUCAAAAUGAUCAUUUACUGCACUGGUUUCUACCUAAACUUGGCUCAAAAGAAGUGUAAUUGCUACAGUAGAGGCAAGCAAGGAGACCAGCCUUGAGUCACACCUCAGGAAGGCAUCUCAGAUCCCACAAUCAGAGAAAAGCAGAAUCUGUGUUGAAAA